GAUGAAGAACGCAGCGAAAUGCGAUAAGUAAUGUGAAUUGCAGAAUUCAGUGAAUCAUCGAAUCUUUGAACGCACAUUGCGCCCGCCAGUAUUCUGGCGGGCAGGCCUGUCUGAGCGUCAUUUCAACCCUCAUGCCCCUAGGGCGUGGUGUUGGGGAUCGGCCAAAGCCCGCGAGGGACGGCCGGCCCCUAAAUCUAGUGGCGGACCCGUCGUGGCCUCCUCUGCGAAGUAGUGAUAUUCCGCAUCGGAGAGCGAUGAGCCCCUGCCGUUAAACCCCCAACUUUCCAAGGUUGACCUCAGAUCAGGUAGGAAUACCCGCUGAACUUAAGCAUAUCAAUAAGCGGAGGA
RNAcentral lists this unclassified non-coding RNA (348 nucleotides) under soil metagenome. RNAcentral describes it as "partial contains 5.8S ribosomal RNA, internal transcribed spacer 2, and large subunit ribosomal RNA". The stretch from base 1 to 120 matches the Rfam family "5.8S ribosomal RNA", at positions 35 to 154 of the family's 154-position model. The record is from RNAcentral.